This 425-nucleotide ribosomal RNA is filed under the name uncultured bacterium. Its description in RNAcentral is "bacterial SSU rRNA". It matches the Rfam family "Bacterial small subunit ribosomal RNA", at positions 355 to 775 of the family's 1533-position model. The record is from RNAcentral.
UCGAGGAUCUUCGGCAAUGGGCGCAAGCCUGACCGAGCGACGCCGCGUGCGGGAUGAAGGCCUUCGGGUUGUAAACCGCUGUCAGUGGGGAGGAAAUUUCAGUGGGUUCUCCCAUUGGAUUGACUUAUCCGCAGAGGAAGUGUGGGCUAAGCUCGUGCCAGCAGCCGCGGUAAGACGAGCCACACAAACGUUAUUCGGAAUUACUGGGCUUAAAGGGUGCGUAGGCGGCGUGGAAAGUUGGGUGUGAAAGCCCUCGGCUCAACCGAGGAAUUGCGCCCAAAACUUCCAUGCUUGAGGAAGAUAGAGGUGAGCGGAACUCAGGGUGGAGCGGUGAAAUGCGUUGAUAUCCUGAGGAACACCGGUGGCGAAAGCGGCUCACUGGAUCUUUUCUGACGCUGAGGCACGAAAGCUAGGGUAGCGAACGG